Molecule: ribosomal RNA, 728 nt
Filed under: uncultured Glomeromycotina
Lineage: Eukaryota; Fungi; Glomeromycota
Description: SSU rRNA
Rfam family: Eukaryotic small subunit ribosomal RNA
Source: RNAcentral
GGGCACGACACCGGAGAGGGAGCCUGAGAAACGGCUACCACAUCCAAGGAAGGCAGCAGGCGCGCAAAUUACCCAAUCCCGACACGGGGAGGUAGUGACAAUAAAUAACAAUACAGGGUUCUUUUGGAUCUUGUAAUUGGAAUGAGUACAAUUUAAAUCUCUUAACGAGGAACAAUUGGAGGGCAAGUCUGGUGCCAGCAGCCGCGGUAAUUCCAGCUCCAAUAGCGUAUAUUAAAGUUGUUGCAGUUAAAAAGCUCGUAGUUGAAUUUCGGAAUCAAUGUUUCGGUCAUGCCGUUGGUAUGUACUGAUAUUAUUGAUUUCUCACCUUCUAAAGAACCGUAAUGCCAUUAAUUUGGUGUCACGGGGAAUUAGGACUGUUACCUUGAAAAAAUUAGAGUGUUUAAAGCAGGCUCACGCUUGAAUACAUUAGCAUGGAAUAAUGAAAUAGGACAUCCGAUUCUAUUUUGUUGGUUUCUAGGAUCGAUGUAAUGAUUAAUAGGGAUAGUUGGGGGCAUUAGUAUUCAAUUGUCAGAGGUGAAAUUCUUGGAUUUAUUGAAGACUAACUACUGCGAAAGCAUUUGCCAAGGAUGUUUUCAUUAAUCAAGAACGAAAGUUAGGGGAUCGAAGACGAUCAGAUACCGUCGUAGUCUUAACCAUAAACUAUGCCGACUAGGGAUCGGAUGAUGUUAAUUUUUUAAUGACUCAUUCGGCGCCUUACGGGAAACCAA